UAAACGUAAUGAAGUUGAAAAUGAUAAA
This 28-nucleotide small RNA is filed under the name Bombyx mori (domestic silkworm). RNAcentral's name for it is "ovarian small RNA-18201". Lineage: Eukaryota; Metazoa; Arthropoda; Insecta; Lepidoptera; Bombycidae. The record is from RNAcentral.